Molecule: long non-coding RNA, 669 nt
Filed under: Rhagoletis pomonella (apple maggot)
Lineage: Eukaryota; Metazoa; Arthropoda; Insecta; Diptera; Tephritidae
Description: uncharacterized LOC118745783, transcript variant X1
Source: RNAcentral
AUGGUCAGGGCCUUUUCAUCCGAAUGGUCUUAAUGUUAAAGAAGCCCCCAACUGGAGUGGAUAGGAGUGGAAAACAGGCAGUAACAAAGCCAUUUAAGAAGAAGAACAAAUUUUUAUCAAGUACCAAUGGCAAUAUCAAGAAACAGUUUAAAGUUCAAUUUCUACUAAUAAAUCAACUGCGGCGAUGAAACACGCCCGGUUACUAAACAUACUGAUGCGUUAUCAAAUUGUGAGUGAUUGUAUAAUGUGGAAUAUGUUCGUACUCUCCACACAUGUGCGAAAGCAGAAAGGUACACUUAUAAAAAAGAUCCAAACGCAUCUUAAGUUAGUGCUGGUGUCAAUCUAUUUAGCAUUUAUUUAGUGUUCAAACAUCGAUUUGAGACGUACGUUACAAAUGCUGAUAUCGACUUUUCAGAGCCGAUCAGUUCUGAUGUGAGAGCGUAAAAUAUUAGCAUACUAUUGAGCUACACAACGCACACAUCCGUAUGUAUUUACCGUAAGAAGCAGUCUACUAUCAACUUUAAUUUGGGAUGAUAAGCCGACACAAACACAUACAUACAUAUGCCUGAACGAUCACGAUAACCCGUGCCGAAUUUGAAGUUGAGGUUUUGGUUCAGAACUUAACUACAUACAUUAGUAAAGCACAAGCGUCACAGACGAAGUUGAUAA